This is a regulatory RNA element of Lachnospiraceae bacterium 3_1_57FAA_CT1, 77 nucleotides long. It matches the Rfam family "Glycine riboswitch aptamer". From Rfam's summary of the family: This family represents the bacterial glycine riboswitch. Glycine riboswitches usually consist of two metabolite-binding aptamers domains with similar structures in tandem. NCBI's taxonomy places the organism in Bacteria, Bacillati, Bacillota, Clostridia, Lachnospirales, Lachnospiraceae. The record is from Rfam.
AAGAAGAAUCCGGGAGAGACAAGACCAUCUGCGCCGAAGGGGCAUAAACUCUCAGGCAAAAGGACCGGAUUUGGACG